This 115-nucleotide ribosomal RNA is filed under the name uncultured bacterium. RNAcentral's name for it is "partial 16S ribosomal RNA". It matches the Rfam family "Bacterial small subunit ribosomal RNA", at positions 1369 to 1482 of the family's 1533-position model. The record is from RNAcentral.
CGUUCCCGGGCCUUGUACACACCGCCCGUCAAGUCACGAAAGUCGGUAACACCCGAAGCCGGUGGCCCAACCCUUGUGGAGGGAGCUGUCGAAGGUGGGACUGGCGAUUGGGACU